RNAcentral lists this transfer RNA (73 nucleotides) under Camelus bactrianus (Bactrian camel). It matches the Rfam family "tRNA". From Rfam's summary of the family: Transfer RNA (tRNA) molecules are approximately 80 nucleotides in length. Their secondary structure includes four short double-helical elements and three loops (D, anti-codon, and T loops). Lineage: Eukaryota; Metazoa; Chordata; Mammalia; Artiodactyla; Camelidae. The record is from Rfam by way of RNAcentral. RNAcentral also lists the same sequence under 2 other names.
GAGGCUAUAGCUCAAGUGGUAGAGCGCAUGCUUAGCAUGCACGAGGUCCUAGGUUCAAUCCCCAGUACCACCU